GACGAACGCUGGCGGCGUGCUUAACACAUGCAAGUCGAACGGAAAGGCCCUGCUUGCAGGGUACUCGAGUGGCGAACGGGUGAGUAACACGUGGGUGAUCUGCCCUGCACUUCGGGAUAAGCCUGGGAAACUGGGUCUAAUACCGGAUAGGAGCCAUUUUUAGUGUGAUGGUUGGAAAGUUUUUUCGGUGUAGGAUGAGCUCGCGGCCUAUCAGCUUGUUGGUGGGGUAAUGGCCUACCAAGGCGGCGACGGGUAGCCGGCCUGAGAGGGUGGACGGCCACAGUGGGACUGAGAUACGGCCCAGACUCCUACGGGAGGCAGCAGUGGGGAAUAUUGCACAAUGGGCGCAAGCCUGAUGCAGCGACGCCGCGUGGGGGAUGACGGCCUUCGGGUUGGAAACUCCUUUCGCUAGGGACGAAGCUUUUUGUGACGGUACCUAGAGAAGAAGCACCGGCUAACUACGUG
Molecule: ribosomal RNA, 465 nt
Filed under: uncultured bacterium
Lineage: Bacteria
Description: partial 16S ribosomal RNA
Rfam family: Bacterial small subunit ribosomal RNA
Source: RNAcentral